AAGGGACAGCAGUAGCCGCGGGAAUACAGAGGGUGCGAGCGUUAAUCGGAUUUACUGGGCGUAAAGCGUGCGUAGGCGGCUUCUUAAGUCGGAUGUGAAAUCCCUGAGCUUAACUUAGGAAUUGCAUUCGAUACUGGGAAGCUAGAGUAUGGGAGAGGAUGGUAGAAUUCCAGGUGUAGCGGUGAAAUUCGUAGAGAUCUGGAGGAAUACCGAUGGCGAAGGCAGCCAUCUGGCCUAAUACUGACGCUGAGGUACGAAAGCAUGGGGAGCAAACAGGAUUAGAUACCCCUGUAGUCCCUGUCUCUUAUAC
This 310-nucleotide ribosomal RNA is filed under the name uncultured bacterium. RNAcentral describes it as "partial 16S ribosomal RNA". It matches the Rfam family "Bacterial small subunit ribosomal RNA", at positions 503 to 807 of the family's 1533-position model. The record is from RNAcentral.